UACGAAGGGGGCUAGCGUUGUUCGGAAUUACUGGGCGUAAAGCGCGCGCAGGCGGUCUUCCAAGUCAGUGGUGAAAGCCCGGAGCUCAACUCCGGAACUGCCAUUGAAACUGUAAGACUUGAGGAUGAGAGAGGUGAGUGGAAUUCCCAGUGUAGAGGUGAAAUUCGUAGAUAUUGGGAAAGAACACCGGUGGCGAAGGCGGCUCACUGGCUCAUUACUGACGCUCAGGCGCGACAGCGUGGGGAUCAAACAGG
Molecule: ribosomal RNA, 254 nt
Filed under: uncultured bacterium
Lineage: Bacteria
Description: partial 16S ribosomal RNA
Rfam family: Bacterial small subunit ribosomal RNA
Source: RNAcentral